Podarcis lilfordi (Lilford's wall lizard) is the source of this 70-nucleotide non-coding RNA. Lineage: Eukaryota; Metazoa; Chordata; Lepidosauria; Squamata; Lacertidae. The record is from the annotation of a GenBank genome assembly.
GGUGAUACCUCAGUGAUAGAGCAUCUGCCUUGCACGCAGAAGGUCCCAAGCUCAAUCCUCAACAGCACCU